Molecule: ribosomal RNA, 850 nt
Filed under: Staphylococcus aureus
Lineage: Bacteria; Bacillati; Bacillota; Bacilli; Caryophanales; Staphylococcaceae
Description: partial 23S ribosomal RNA
Rfam family: Bacterial large subunit ribosomal RNA
Source: RNAcentral
ACAAGUAGUCAGAGCCCGUUAAUGGGUGAUGGCGUGCCUUUUGUAGAAUGAACCGGCGAGUUACGAUUUGAUGCAAGGUUAAGCAGUAAAUGUGGAGCCGUAGCGAAAGCGAGUCUGAAUAGGGCGUUUAGUAUUUGGUCGUAGACCCGAAACCAGGUGAUCUACCCUUGGUCAGGUUGAAGUUCAGGUAACACUGAAUGGAGGACCGAACCGACUUACGUUGAAAAGUGAGCGGAUGAACUGAGGGUAGCGGAGAAAUUCCAAUCGAACCUGGAGAUAGCUGGUUCUCUCCGAAAUAGCUUUAGGGCUAGCCUCAAGUGAUGAUUAUUGGAGGUAGAGCACUGUUUGGACGAGGGGCCCCUCUCGGGUUACCGAAUUCAGACAAACUCCGAAUGCCAAUUAAUUUAACUUGGGAGUCAGAACAUGGGUGAUAAGGUCCGUGUUCGAAAGGGAAACAGCCCAGACCACCAGCUAAGGUCCCAAAAUAUAUGUUAAGUGGAAAAGGAUGUGGCGUUGCCCAGACAACUAGGAUGUUGGCUUAGAAGCAGCCAUCAUUUAAAGAGUGCGUAAUAGCUCACUAGUCGAGUGACACUGCGCCGAAAAUGUACCGGGGCUAAACAUAUUACCGAAGCUGUGGAUUGUCCUUUGGACAAUGGUAGGAGAGCGUUCUAAGGGCGUUGAAGCAUGAUCGUAAGGACAUGUGGAGCGCUUAGAAGUGAGAAUGCCGGUGUGAGUAGCGAAAGACGGGUGAGAAUCCCGUCCACCGAUUGACUAAGGUUUCCAGAGGAAGGCUCGUCCGCUCUGGGUUAGUCGGGUCCUAAGCUGAGGCCGACAGGCGUAGGCGAUGGAU